AUUGAACGCUGGCGGCAUGCCUAACACAAGCAAGUCGAACGGUAACAGGUUAAGCUGACGAGUGGCGAACGGGCGAGUAAUAUAUCGGAACGUGCCACGUCGUGGGGGAUAUCGUACCGACAGCUAUGCUAAUACCUCAUAAGAUCAACGGAUGAAAACGGGGGAGCGCAAGACCUCGCGCGACUGGAGCGGCCGAUAUCAGAUUAGGUUGUUGGUGAAGUAAAAGCACACCAAGCCUGCGAUCUGUAGCUGGUCUGGGAGGACGACCAACCACACUGGAACUGUGACACGGUCCAGACUCGUACGGGAGGCAGCAGUGGGGAAUUUUGGACAAUGGACGCAAGUCUGAUCCAGCAAUGCCGCGUGCAGGACGAAGGCCUUCGGGUUGUAAACUGCUUUUGUACGGAACGAAACGGUGAGCUCUAAUACGGUUUGCUAAUGACGGUACCGUAAGAAUAAGCACCGGCUAACUACGUGCCAGCAGCCGCAGUAA
Molecule: ribosomal RNA, 493 nt
Filed under: uncultured bacterium
Lineage: Bacteria
Description: partial 16S ribosomal RNA
Rfam family: Bacterial small subunit ribosomal RNA
Source: RNAcentral